Molecule: transfer RNA, 39 nt
Filed under: Luffa aegyptiaca (smooth loofah)
Lineage: Eukaryota; Viridiplantae; Streptophyta; Magnoliopsida; Cucurbitales; Cucurbitaceae
Also listed under: 10 other names
Description: partial tRNA-Phe
Source: RNAcentral
CCGGGAUAGCUCAGUUGGUAGAGCAGAGGACUGAAAAUC